UACGGAGGGAGCUAGCGUUGUUCGGAAUUACUGGGCGUAAAGCGCACGUAGGCGGCUUUGCAAGUUAGAGGUGAAAGCCCGGGGCUCAACUCCGGAAUUGCCUUUAAAACUGCAUCGCUAGAGUUGUGGAGAGGUAAGUGGAAUUCCGAGUGUAGAGGUGAAAUUCGUAGAUAUUCGGAAGAAUACCAGUGGCGAAGGCGACUUACUGGACACAUACUGACGCUGAGGUGCGAAAGCGUGGGGAGCAAACAGG
This 253-nucleotide ribosomal RNA is filed under the name uncultured bacterium. RNAcentral describes it as "partial 16S ribosomal RNA". It matches the Rfam family "Bacterial small subunit ribosomal RNA", at positions 524 to 776 of the family's 1533-position model. The record is from RNAcentral.